Coffea arabica (coffee) is the source of this 1179-nucleotide long non-coding RNA. RefSeq lists it as uncharacterized. The record is from RefSeq and is a predicted model, not a curated record. Lineage: Eukaryota; Viridiplantae; Streptophyta; Magnoliopsida; Gentianales; Rubiaceae.
GAGAGAACACUAGGAAGAAAACAGCUCAAGUAGUAAGUAGCACCGACUGGGAAACAUUGACCACCGAGUGCACUGUUCCUUCUGAUUCUAGAGUCUUAUAAGCUGUUAAGUCCAAGCGGUGGCUGAAGGAAAAAUCAAGAGAAAUCCACAGCCAAUAAUUUGCUAAGUCAAGCGGUGGAAGUGAGGAAACAAAUAGAAAGUGGCUUGCUAAGUUGGGCGGUGGCCGAGUGGAGAAGCGAGGCUUCAAUUCUUUUCUUACCAACCAAACACCAAGAGCAAAACUGAGAGACUAAGCCAUUUCUUUUCAUCUCAAGGCACAACCGAGAGAAUGGAAAAUAUUUCUGGUUCUUCCUUGUUCCAGUUUUCAACCGAGAGAGUGAGGAAGAGAGUUAGACAUUUGCUAGCUUUAUUUCUCCAGCUUGUAACCUCAAAACCGUGAGCCAAAGUGAGUGAGAGGGAGAGAAAUUCUGGUGGUAUACUUCACUUAACGGGCUCAAUCGAAUGAGAGUGAAGUAGAUUGAAGAAAGAGUGAGAGUUGGUGCAAUUUUGAGGAACCGAAGCUCAACUUGGAGCCAUCUGCACUUGCUGAAUUCUAGAGGAAAUGAGUUCUUGUCCUUAGUUUAGCUACCCGAGAGACAUUAGGAGGAAAAGGAGAGAAGGACCAAAAGAAAGAAACAACAACAACAACUAGGAACUCAUUUCUGGCCUCCUUCAACCGUGAGAACCAGCCACAAAGAAAGCAGGAAUGCAGUCUAUCGAGCUAAGAAUGGGAGAGAGAAACCAGAAUUUUAUUUUCCUAACUUAGAACCAUAAGAACCAGAGGAGACAGCGGUGUGCAAGAAAGCAAUUAAGAGAUCGAAGUGUAACUUUUGAUUAGGGAGUUGGUGGUCAGGGAAUGAACGAGGGAUCUUAGGGAGUUAACGUGAACACUUUUGUGAUUGUAAAUCCUUUAAUAUCAUAUUAUGGUUGAGGCUAUUAUAUUGAACUUGGUAUUGUAAAAGAUUUGAGCGUUUGGUUUUGGUUUAUCGAAAUGUUAUCUCUGACAUUAAUGUAAGUGAUUGAACCCUGGCGAAAGCCAGGCAGGUGGUCCGCUAAUUUCUAGGGUAUGCCCUAGGAGAAGGUGGGGCCGUCACAAAAUGAUUAUUCGUAAAGAAACUUAUUUAAAAGUUGAAAUUACCC